GGUCCAGACUCCUACGGGAGGCAGCAGUAGGGAAUCUUCCGCAAUGGGCGAAAGCCUGACGGAGCAACGCCGCGUGAGUGAUGAAGGUCUUCGGAUCGUAAAACUCUGUUAUUAGGGAAGAACAUACGUGUAAGUAACUAUGCACGUCUUGACGGUACCUAAUCAGAAAGCCACGGCUAACUACGUGCCAGCAGCCGCGGUAAUACGUAGGUGGCAAGCGUUAUCCGGAAUUAUUGGGCGUAAAGCGCGCGGAGGCGGUUUUUUAAGUCUGAUGUGAAAGCCCACGGCUCAACCGUGGAGGGUCAUUGGAAACUGUAAAACUUGAGUGCAGAAGAGGAAAGUGGAAUUCCAUGUGUAGCGGUGAAAUGCGCAGAGAUAUGGAGGAACACCAGUGGCGAAGGCGACUUUCUGGUCUGUAACUGACGCUGAUGUGCGAAAGCGUGGGGAUCAAACAGGAUUAGAUACCCUGGUAGUCCACGCCGUAAACGAUGAGUGCUAAGUGUUAGGGGGUUUCCGCCCCUUAGUGCUGCAGCUAACGCAUUAAGCACUCCGCCUGGGGAGUACGACCGCAAGGUUGAAACUCAAAGGAAUUGACGGGGACCCG
Molecule: ribosomal RNA, 604 nt
Filed under: Staphylococcus haemolyticus
Lineage: Bacteria; Bacillati; Bacillota; Bacilli; Caryophanales; Staphylococcaceae
Description: bacterial SSU rRNA
Rfam family: Bacterial small subunit ribosomal RNA
Source: RNAcentral